CUCGAGCCGCCCGCCGCUUAUCCCGUCUGCUGCCGCUCGCCGCCUGCCGCCCGCCGCUUAUCCCAUCUCCUGCCGCUCUACCGCCGCCCCAGCGCCUCUAUAAGAUGGCCCCCGGCCUCGCUUAUCCACAAGCGGCCGCGGAGGGGCUCGGCUGCCGAGCCGCCAUCAGGGGGCGUACCGGCGAGGGGCUGCGUCCACCUUGCCGUCGAGUGCCUCCUCCCCUCCGGCCGCCCCGAUUCCCUCUUCAUCCUCCAGCUCCAGCCCAACCCCGACACCCCGGACGUCAGGCGGGUCUUCCGUCGCCUAGCCAACCUCCUGGCCCCUCGGCGCGAUCCCCAUCCCCGGCUGACACCGCCCUUCGCGCCGUUGAAGAGGCCUUUGCCCACCUCUUGGAGAGCACCUCCACCAGCGCCGGUUUCGCUCCUGCUGCUCCCGGCGGCGUUUCCGUCUCAGAGAUGUGCUCUGGACGGUCUGCCCCCACUGCUGCCAUGUGCAUGAGUACGAGCGCAUGCUGGUGGGGUGUUUGCUUGGGUGCUCGAACCCCUGGUUCAUGUGCGUGUUCGUGGCUACCUAGCCCGCGCGGCUGCCCUCUCCCUGCUCGCCGGUCGCCGCCGCUCGGGUUGUUCGCGCAGGCUAAGCCACGGAUUGUGUACGAAAUAUUCACAACAAAGCAACGGUAAGCUUGCUCUAUCCUUGAAUAAAUCUUUGCAUACUUUAUUUGGGUUGCCAUCGUAUGUUUAUCCUUAUGUAUCCUAUUGAAAUUGAAUAGAUCAAACAGAGAUCCAGUUACAGCAAAGAUGCGAAAAUUGAGUAGUCAAUAUAGCAGGUGCAGUGUGAACUCCUGUUUUCCCGUAGUAACUUCAGAAAAAAGUCUCUCUACCUGGGUUAAGAAAUUCAGAACUUUACAGUGAGCAGAAUGUGGACCUUAUAAGGUCUACACAUGCAAGAUUCAGGAAUUGGAAACGGAAGUAACACGGCAGAAGUUCUCCACUGGGCUCAAGGGGAUGAAUUGUUUAACUACAGAGAGCUUCAACAUGGGGGAUGAAUUGGUUAACUACAGAGAGCUUCAACAUGGUGGCAACCUGGUGAAGAAAUGAGAGGAAGUGGAAGGAUAGAAGGUACGCUUCUGCAGAAUCCAAGUUCUCAGGAGUAUCUCACAAAUGAGUCAUCAUAGGUGAGAGAUGUCUCAUCCAGCCGGACGAUAUUAUUGACCAUUUAAUAGCAGCUGACCAACAGUUUUGGUAAUUAGAGAAGAAGACAAUUCCACAGAAGCAAAGCCAGUUCAUUGGUAGGGAGCUAAAUUAGCAGGCAUGCUACCUGUACUAAAUACAUGUUGUGCUUCCUGUCCCUUCUGUCCUUCUAUAUAUUGAACUCAUUGGCAUAUGAUGUAACCUGUUAAU
This is a non-coding RNA of Triticum urartu, 1400 nucleotides long. NCBI's taxonomy places the organism in Eukaryota, Viridiplantae, Streptophyta, Magnoliopsida, Poales, Poaceae. The record is from RefSeq and is a predicted model, not a curated record.